GAACGAAGAGGAGGGUGGGGUAGCAGUGAAGGGGAACGAAGAGGAGGGUGGGGUAGCAGUGAAGGGGAACGAAGAGGAGGGUGGGGUAGCAGUGAAGGGGAGCGAAGAGGAGGGUGGGGUAGCAGUGAAGGGGAACGAAGAGGAGGGUGGGGUAGCAGUGAAGGGGAGCGAAGAGGAGGGUGGGGUAGCAGUGAAGGGGAACGAAGAGGAGGGUGGGGUAGCAGUGAAGGGGAACGAAGAGGAGGGUGGGGUAGCAGUGAAGGGGAGCGAGGAGGAGGCUGGGGUAGCAGUGAAGGGGAGCGAGGAGGAGGCUGGGGUAGCAGUGAAGGGGAGCGAGGAGGAGGCUGGGGUAGCAGUGAAGGGGAGCGAGGAGGAGGAGGCUGGGGUAGCAGUGAAGGGGAACGAGGAGGAGGAGGCUGGGGUAGCAGUGAAGGGGAACGAUGAGGAGGCGGCUGGGGUAGCAGUGAAGGGGAACGAUGAGGAGGCGGCUGGGGUAGCAGUGAAGGGGAACGAUGAGGAGGAGGCUGGGGUAGCAGUGAAGGGGAACGAAGAGGAGGAGGCUGGGGUAGCAGUGAAGGGGAACGAAGAGGAGGAGGCUGGGGUAGCAGUGAAGGAGACCGAUACUGUCACAGAGAUCAGUCCUGGUCAGGAUGAAGAGCGUCUGCGACGUCUGGCGGCCAGGAGAGAGAGUGUCCUGAAGUCUCUACAAGGACUUCUCACUAGAGGGAAGGGCCUGAGAAGACACAGCCUUAAACCUACACGGACACAGAAAAAUGGAGCUGAAGAGAAGAAGAGUAGAAAGACAGGCGGGCAGAAAAAGGACAGAAAAACAGCGAGUAAGACAGCAGGCGGCAAGGCAGCAGGCGGCAAGGCAACGGACAGGAAGACAACAGAUGAGAAGGUGGAAAGUACGAAAACGGAAGUAAAAAAAUUGGAAGGCAAAAAAACUGAAUGUAAGAAACCAGAACAAAAGAUAGAGAAGAAAGUGGAGAGCAAGAAAUCAGCGGAGGCUAAGAAGUCCGACUCGACCCGGGCGGAGGCUAAGAAGUCCGACUCGACCCGGGCGGAGGCUAAGAAGUCCGACUCGACCCGGGCGG
Oncorhynchus tshawytscha (Chinook salmon) is the source of this 1097-nucleotide long non-coding RNA. The record is from Ensembl. NCBI's taxonomy places the organism in Eukaryota, Metazoa, Chordata, Actinopteri, Salmoniformes, Salmonidae.